GACGAGCGCUGGCGGCGCGCCUAACACAUGCAAGUCGAACGAGCGAGAGAGAGCUUGCUUUCUUGAGCGAGUGGCGAACGGGUGAGUAACGCGUGAGGAACCUGCCUCAAAGAGGGGGACAACAGUUGGAAACGACUGCUAAUACCGCAUAAGCCCACGACCCGGCAUCGGGUUGAGGGAAAAGGAGCAAUCCGCUUUGAGAUGGCCUCGCGUCCGAUUAGCUAGUUGGUGAGGUAACGGCCCACCAAGGCGACGAUCGGUAGCCGGACUGAGAGGUUGAACGGCCACAUUGGGACUGAGACACGGCCCAGACUCCUACGGGAGGCAGCAGUGGGGAAUAUUGCACAAUGGGGGAAACCCUGAUGCAGCGACGCCGCGUGGAGGAAGAAGGUCUUCGGAUUGUAAACUCCUGUUGUGGAGGAAGAUAAUGACGGUACUCAACAAGGAAGUGACGGCUAACUACGUG
Molecule: ribosomal RNA, 466 nt
Filed under: uncultured bacterium
Lineage: Bacteria
Description: partial 16S ribosomal RNA
Rfam family: Bacterial small subunit ribosomal RNA
Source: RNAcentral